RNAcentral lists this ribosomal RNA (301 nucleotides) under uncultured bacterium. RNAcentral describes it as "partial 16S ribosomal RNA". It matches the Rfam family "Bacterial small subunit ribosomal RNA", at positions 510 to 808 of the family's 1533-position model. The record is from RNAcentral.
AGUAGCCGCGGGAAUACGUAGGGUGCGAGCGUUAAUCGGAAUUACUGGGCGUAAAGCGUGCGCAGGCGGUUUUGUAAGACAGGCGUGAAAUCCCCGGGCUCAACCUGGGAAUGGCGCUUGUGACUGCAAAGCUAGAGUGCGGCAGAGGGGGAUGGAAUUCCGCGUGUAGCAGUGAAAUGCGUAGAUAUGCGGAGGAACACCGAUGGCGAAGGCAAUCCCCUGGGCCUGCACUGACGCUCAUGCACGAAAGCGUGGGGAGCAAACAGGAUUAGAUACCCGUGUAGUCCCUGUCUCUUAUACA